This 5422-nucleotide unclassified non-coding RNA is filed under the name Lytechinus variegatus (green sea urchin). RNAcentral's name for it is "myosin-10-like, transcript variant X1". Lineage: Eukaryota; Metazoa; Echinodermata; Echinoidea; Temnopleuroida; Toxopneustidae. The record is from RNAcentral.
ACCAAGAAAGUUAUCCAAUACCUAGCACAUAUAGCAGCCAGCAAGGGUGGCAAAGGUACAGCCACAAUCCACAGUAUACAAAGUAUGCAUAGCCUUUCCCGGAACAUUGUAGGUGAACUGGAAGCUCAGCUGCUCCAAGCCAACCCGAUCCUUGAAUCUUUCGGAAAUGCCAAGACCGUCAAGAACGACAACUCUUCACGUUUUGGUAAAUUCAUCCGCAUCAACUUUGACACAUCUGGGUUCAUCGCAGGAGCCUACAUUGACAGUUACCUUCUGGAAAAGGCUCGUGUCAUCCGUCAGGCCGGCACCGAGAGGACAUUUCACAUCUUCUACCAGUUGUGUCUGGGAACCAACGCUCAGGACAAGGAGAAAUACGUGCUGCGUAGCAUCGAUACCUACAACUACCUUAGCAAUGGAAACGUGCCUGUCACUGGGGUGGAUGAUGUCAAGGAGUUUCAAGAAACCAUCAGUGCUAUGCAAAUCAUGAACAUCAGCGAUGAAGAGAUCACAUGUUGUCUCAAGGUGGUCUCUGCAGUCCUGUGGUUUGGGAACAUGGAGUUCAAGCAAGAGAGGAACUCAGAUCAGGCUAUUCUUCCCAACAAUGAGAUUGCCCAGAGGAUAAGUCAUCUCCUUGGAAUCAGUGUGACAGACUUCACCAAGGCUAUUCUCAAACCUCGCAUCAAGGUCGGCAGAGACUAUGUCAACAAGGCACAAACCAAGAACCAGGUUGAGUUUGCAUGUGAAGCUCUGUCCAAGGCACUCUAUGAGAAGCUCUUCCAAUGGGUGGUCUACAGGAUCAACAAGUCCCUGGACAGGAGCAGACGUACUGCAGCAUCCUUUAUCGGUAUCCUCGACAUUGCUGGCUUUGAGAUCUUCCAGAUGAACUCCUUUGAGCAGCUUUGCAUCAAUUACACCAAUGAGAAACUCCAACAGCUGUUCAACCACACCAUGUUCGUCUUGGAACAGGAGGAGUACCGCCUGGAGGGCAUCGACUGGAAGUUCAUCGAUUUUGGACUCGAUCUACAGCCUUGCAUUGACCUCAUCGAGAAGCCCAUGGGUAUCUUGGCUCUUCUUGAUGAAGAAUGCUGGUUCCCGAAGGCCACUGAUAAAACCUACGUAGAGAAGCUGCACAAAGAGAUGACCAAACACCCCAACUACAUGAAACCAGACUUCAGAGACAGUGCCGACUUCUGCGUUAUACAUUAUGCUGGCAGGGUGGCCUACUCAGCUACUCAGUGGUUGACUAAGAAUAUGGACCCUCUCAAUGACAAUGUCAUCGCCCUGAUGAGGAACUCUUCAGAGCCUUUCAUCACUUCACUCUGGAAGGAUGCCAACAUCGUUGGUAUGAGCAACCUGGAAGGAAGCAACACUCGCUUUGGUAGCUCCCAGACCCGUCGGGGUAUGUUCCGUACCGUGGGCCAGCUUUACAAGGAGCAGCUGUCUGAUCUGAUGACAACCCUCAAUUCCACCAACCCCAACUUCGUCCGUUGCAUCAUCCCCAAUCACGAGAAGAAGGCUGGCAAGAUUGACUCCCAUCUAGUACUGGAACAGCUGAGAUGUAAUGGUGUACUGGAAGGUAUCCGUAUCUGUCGUCAGGGCUUCCCAAAUCGUAUCCUCUUCCAAGAGUUCAGAUCCCGAUAUGAGUUGCUGACACCAGACGUCAUUCCAAAGGGCUUCAUGGAUGGAAGAAAGGCCGCCCAAGCCAUGAUCAGCGCUUUGGAGCUGGACCCCAACCUGUUCCGUCUGGGGCAGAGCAAGAUCUUCUUCCGCGCCGGUGUGUUGGCCCACCUUGAGGAGGAACGUGAUCUGAAAUUGACCGACAUCAUCAUCCGCUUCCAAGCUCACUGCCGUGGUGCCAUUGCUAGAAAGAACUACCAGAAACGUAUCCAGCAGUUGAGUGCCAUCCGCAUCAUCCAACGUAACUGUCUGGCCUACCUCAAACUCCGUAACUGGCAGUGGUGGCGUCUUUUCACCAAGGUCAAGCCGCUCCUGAACGUUACUCGUCAAGACGAGGAGAUGCAGCAGCGAGAGGAUGAACUGCGUAAGGUCAGGGACAAGCUGGAGAACACAGAGAAGGACUACACUGACAUGGAGCGUAAACUCCAACAGGUACUUGACGAGAAGAGCCUCCUAGCAGAACAGUUGCAGGCCGAGUCAGAACUGAGCCAGGAAGCUGAGGAGAUGAGGGUGAAGUUGGCUGCCAAGAAACAGGAGCUUGAAGAGAUACUUCAUGACCUUGAGGCUCGUAUUGAGGAAGAAGAAGAGAAGAAUCUAGGUCUCGGUGCAGAGCAGAAGAGACUUCAACAGAAUAUCAAUGACCUUGAAGAACAGCUUGAAGAGGAAGAAGCUUCCAGGCAGAAGAUACAACUAGAAAAGGUCCAAGCUGAUGCCAGAAUCAAGAAAGUAGAGGAAGAUUUAGCCAUCCUAGAUGAUUCUCAUGCUAAGUUGUUGAAAGACAAGAAGAUCGUUGAUGAGAAGCUCUCGGAGGUGUCUGCCACGUUGACCGAGGAGGAAGAGAAGAGCAAGGGUCUGAUGAAACUCAAGGCUCGCCAUGAAUCAAGCAUCGGAGAACUUGAAGACAAGAUUCGCAAAGAUGAGAAGCUACGUAAUGAUUUGGAGCGUCACAAGCGCAAGCUUGAAACUGAGACAGAAGAUCUAAGGGAGCAGCUUAAUGAGCUUCGUCAAGAGAUCGUAGAACUGAGGGCGCUACUUGCAAGGAAAGAAGAAGAGCUCAAUGCUGCCCUGGCUCGCAUCGAUGAUGAGGUGACCCAGAAGAACCAGCUUCAGAAGCAGGAGCGUGAGCUCCGUAAUCAGUUGACCGAGCUCCAGGAGGAUCUAGACGCUGAGAAGGAUGCUCGCUCCAGGGCUGAAAAGAACAAGAGGGAUCUCAAUGAGGAACUGGAGGCGAUCAAAUCCGAGCUGAUGGAUUCUAUCGACAACACCGCAGCUGCCCAGGACCUGAGGAACCGCAGAGAAAACGAGCUUCAGGACAUAAAGAAGCAGCUAGAGGAGGGCAGCAGAUCACACGAGCAGACCAUACAAGAUCUCCGUCACAAGCACAACAGUGCCAUCGAACAGCUCAAUGACCAAUUGGAUAACGUUAAGAAGUCCAAAUCAUCUUUGGAGAAGAACAAGGCCAGUUUGGAGAGCAACAACUCUGAACUGAACAACGAUCUCAAGCAAGCCACCCAAGCCAAGCAAGAAUCGGAAAGGAAGAGAAAGACCCUGGAAGCACAACUAGCUGAACUGAACGUCAGGCUACAGGAAACCGAGAGAGCAAAGACAGAUUCACAGGAGAAGGCCUCUAAACUUCAAAAUGAAGUAGAGAGCCUGAAUACCGUCCUGGAGGAAACAGAGAGCAAGGCUUCAAAGGCCACAUCAUCAUCCAACUCCUUGAUGGGUCAGCUGACAGAGAUGCAGGAGAGCCUUAACGAGGAGACCAGGCAGAAGCUAGAGUUCAAUUCCAAACUGAGAGCUAUGGAGGCUGAGAAAGAGCAAAUACAGGAGCAAUUAGAGGAAGAGGAACAGGCCAGGAGCAAUGCUUUGAGACAGAUCUCAACCCUGCAGAUGCAGGUAUCUGAUCUGAAGAAGAAGGUUGAGGACGAUUCCAACUCUCUGGACCAAGCAGAAGAAUACCGCAAGAAGAUGUCCAAGGAACUGGAGGCCAUGAACAACACCAACGAGGAACUCAAGCUGGCUUCGGACAAACUGGAGAAGACUAAGAAGAGGCUACAGGCUGAGCUUGAUGACGUGACUCUGAACAUGGAGAGGGAGAAGGCCAGCGUCACGGCUCUGGAGAAGAAGCAGAGGAAGUUUGACAGCAUGCUCAAUGAUGAGAAAGCCGAGAAGGAACGCAUCAUUCAGGAACUUGACGAGAGAUCAAAGGAAUGUCGUGACAAAGAAACCAAGCUGAUGAAUCUUAACCGAGAGUUUGAGGAACUCCAAGAAAGCUUACAGGAGAGUGAGAGAGUACGCAAGACACAGAGUGCUGAGCUGGAUGAACUCGUCUCAUCAAAGGACGAUGUCGGCAAGAAUGUUCAUGAGCUUGAAAAGGCCAAGAAGUCUUUGGAGACCCAGAUUGAAGAGAUGCGUACUCAGAUGGAAGAACUGGAAGAUGAGCUCCAAGCCACUGAGGAUGCCAAGCUACGUCUAGAGGUCAAUCUCCAGGCUGCGAAGGCUAACUUUGAAAGAGAUUCAUCAUCAAAGGAGGAACAGUCUGAGGAGAAGAGGCGUGCUCUCGUCAGACAGCUUCGUGAGAUGGAGGCUGACCUUGAGGAAGAGAGGAAACAACGAGGAAGCGCUGUUAACCAGAGGAAGAAACUUGAGAUGGAUCUCAAAGAUCUAGAGAGUCAUGUGGACGCUGCCAACAAGACCAAAGAAGAUAGUGUGAGACAACUACGCAAACUUCAGGCUCAACUGAAAGAAUACCAAGCAGAUAUGGAGGAUGCCCGCCAUGCUAGAGACGAGAUCUUCCAGUCUGCAAAGGAAAAUGAGCGUAAGCUUAAAGCUAUGGAGACUGAACUCAUGACACUACAAGAGGAAUUGGCGAUGGCUGAGCGUGCCCGUAAGCACGCCGAGAUGGAGCGGGAUGAGCUCCACGAAGAGAUCAACAGCAACACGUCCAAGGGGUCUGCAGCUAUGGACGAGAAGAGGAGGUUAGAACAGAAGCUCUCCCAGUUGGAAGAAGAGCUGGAGGAUGAACAGACUAUGGUGGAGAGUCUGAUGGAUAAAGAGAGGAAAAUCACUGGACAGAUGGAGCAAAUGCAGGCCGAGCUGGCAUCAGAGAGGUCUUCCAAUCAACGCAAUGAGAAUGCUAAGAAUAUUCUCGAAAGACAGAACAAGGAUUUGAAAGCUAAGAUGGCUGAGAUGGAAAGUGCUAGUAGAUCUAAAUCCAAGGCUACCAUCCAACAGCUUGAGAGCAAGAUAGCACAGCUUGAAGACUCUCUUGAUAUUGAGGCUAAGGAACGCAACACAGCAGCUAAGAUGGCUAAGAGAGCCGAUAGGAAAGCCAAAGAGAUGGCCAUGGCUAUUGAAGAUGAACGCCGCCAUGCUGAGCAGUACAAAGAACAGUUGGACAAGAGCAAUUCCCGGUUAAAAACCUUGAAGCGCCAGCUGGAUGAAACUGAAGAGGAAGUCACCAGGCUUAAUGCCGCCAAGCGCAGGAUCCAGCGUGAAUUGGACGAGCAGACGGAGGCCAACGAAGCCCUACAGAGGGAGACUCAGCAGUAUAGGAACAGAUUACGACCAUAAGACAAUAAAACAGCAGUGCUGUCUCUCAGUCGACUGAGGUGUCAAGAAAGAGGAGGGUCCUCGCGACUCGUAGGCAGAUCCAACAGAUCACACAGGAGCGCCGCAGCGGAUAGUGACGAUAGGAUUGAUGGCACUGGAUCGGAUGAAGUCCAAGAGUAGCAACUUUCCUUUA